Molecule: long non-coding RNA, 2146 nt
Filed under: Homo sapiens (human)
Lineage: Eukaryota; Metazoa; Chordata; Mammalia; Primates; Hominidae
Description: HSALNT0081029
Source: RNAcentral
UAAAAACAGCAGUUUCCCUACACAAGCUCUCUCUUUUUGUCUGCUGCCAUCCGCAUAAGACAUGGCCAGCUAUUCCUUGCCUUCUGCCAUAAUUGUGAGGCCUCUCCAGCCAUAUGGAACUAUUCCUCUUAGGACUCUAGAUGCACGGAGAGUGGCCAGAUUAAUACAGACUGGCAAAAGAAGAACUUGGCAAAGUGAUUUGAUCACACACUUCUCACCCUCACAUCUCCUGACAGUUCCCCUAAUCCCUGCCCCACUUCCCCGCCAUGGGCUUCCAUCAGGAAACUCCUUGAUAUCAUCUUCGAGAAGAAAACUGAGGCAUAGAACAUUUGGGAAUGAAUCUAAGACUACACAUCUAGAAUAGCAGAGGAAGGCAAUGUAUCGCAUCCUGUAUUACCUUCCCCUGACCUCAUAGCUUCCCAAAACAGGAACAAUCAUGGGCUUUGAAGUUACAGGAAUGCAGAUGUGAUUCCUAUGGAUGAGGGUAACCUAGAGGCUAGAAGAACAAUAGGACAGAAGAAGCCUGGGUCCCUGAACAACCUUGUGGAGCAUAGACACCUACGUGGCCUGGACUGCCAGCUCACAAUGGGCCUCUCUGUGAGAGAAGGAAACUUCCCUCUUGUUUAAGCAACUGUGCUUUUGAGAAUCUCUUGGUCUAUACCCUAAUGAAUAAGGCCAUCAUAAAUGGAUAUCAAAGUAAGGAAAUUUGUGUAAAUGAUUUAAUAAAACAUUACCUCAGGUAUGAAAUAAUUCUACCUUGUGCCUUGACAACAUCAGGUAUUAUUCAUGCCCUUUUCUCUCCCUGUAAUGUCUCUUAUCCACGGGUAGAAAUUAUAUUUUCCAUCUAAGGUUUGCUCAAAUAUUAUCUACUUAAGUAGCUCUUACCAAUUUUGCCUCUCCUCCUGAGCUGACCCUAUGCCUUCUAUGCUGUUCCAGGUAAUAUUAAUCUCUUCCUUUGUACUUCUUUCACAGAACAUACUUUUUUGUCUAACAUAAUAACUAUAGGCAUAAGUGUAUAGAUUCCACUAGGGGCUUCAGAACAGAAACUAUCAUCUUAUUAAUUUUUUUCUCCCUGAUAUCUAGGGAAAUAUGUUAUAUAUAAUAGGCCCUUAGUAAUCCCAUAAAUGUUUGUGAGAUAUUCACUGACUAUAAGCCAUACUCUGUAUUUAUUUAGCUAAAACAGACGUCUUUCAUAUUUAGUUAGCAGAAAAUGCUCACAUUUACUCCUUUCCUGUUUACCAAAUGAAAGGGUAAUUGUUUUUUCACAGAUUGCACUAGAAAAGUGUCUUCUCUCUCUUUUUCAAAUAGAUUGUCUUUAAAACAUAUGACAGGAAAAGUGACUAUUGUUAGGAUAAGAUAAUUACGAUUGUAACAGCUAGUUUAAAAGAAGUGUCAGUUGCUCCUGUUUUAUUUUUCACAGGAUAGAGCUGCGGCCUGUCUCAGUAUGAUGUUUUCAGGAUCUGGUAUAUAUUUUUAUUUUCCUACAUGAAUCUUUCAUCCUUUUACUGACAUUUAUUCAUUUUAUCUAAUUAUCCUAAAAGGAAAGCUCUGGCCAGGCAAAUUGGUUGUUGUCUGCCUCUGAAGAGACAUUCAUAUCGCGUCGCUUAGCUUUCAAGUUUUGUGAUCAGGAACCCUCAGGCCCAUUUUUAAGGAGGUUUCAGGCUAGCUGAGCUUCACUGUCUCCCAAAAUGUACAAAAUGAGAUUACAUGAGGGACAAGAUCAAUUUACUGGAAGGUACUUAAGCAGUAAAUCUGGAGCUUUUUGUCCAGUCACUAUUGCUUUCAAGCUUUGUAGCAGAAAAUUAAGCCACAAGAGCUUUGACAAAUUAGAUAUUACUACCUCUAAUUGUGUAUGUUUAAGCUUAUCACACUGAAUUGCAGCAUUGUAACUGACUAUUAUGCCAACAAGGCCUUCGUUUAAUCAGCGCAGUGCCAUUUAAUCGCAAUUAAUCACUCAACUAAAAUGUCAUAUUAAGGUCACAGAAACUUGAAGGGCUAAAAGAAAAGAGAACAUUAAAGUCAGCUGAUGGAGGAAAAGAGCAUGGUGUGCCAAGGGAAGUUCUGAGCACUCUUUUUCAUUAGAAGCUGGUAGAACAUUUAAUGAGAAUUCAGUCUUAACUUUCAGCUGAGAUCAGAACAACGUGCC